GCAUGGUGUGAUUAACCUACUAACCAACCCAGGGCUCGGCCAGGACGCUGUGGCACGUGACGAGAUGCCUGGCCUUCUGUCAACCGACUAAUCCACUAACCUGGCCCGAGCAUGUCCUACUAACCCCGCAGCAGCCAAACCCUACUAACU
This 150-nucleotide long non-coding RNA is filed under the name Mus caroli (Ryukyu mouse). RNAcentral describes it as "sRNA (MGP_CAROLIEiJ_G0008775.1)". It matches the Rfam family "Myocardial infarction associated transcript exon 5 conserved region 1". From Rfam's summary of the family: MIAT (myocardial infarction associated transcript), also known as RNCR2 (retinal non-coding RNA 2) or Gomafu, is a noncoding RNA. Single nucleotide polymorphisms (SNPs) in MIAT are associated with a risk of myocardial infarction. It is expressed in neurons, and located in the nucleus. The record is from RNAcentral. Lineage: Eukaryota; Metazoa; Chordata; Mammalia; Rodentia; Muridae.